UACGUAGGGUCCGAGCGUUGUCCGGAAUUAUUGGGCGUAAAGAGCUCGUAGGCGGCCAGUUGCGUCUGCUGUGAAAUCCCGGGGCUCAACCCCGGGCGUGCAGUGGAUACGGGCUGGCUAGAGGCAGGCAGGGGAGAACGGAAUUCCCGGUGUAGCGGUGAAAUGCGCAGAUAUCGGGAGGAACACCGGUGGCGAAGGCGGUUCUCUGGGCCUGUACUGACGCUGAGGAGCGAAAGCGUGGGGAGCGAACAGG
Molecule: ribosomal RNA, 253 nt
Filed under: uncultured bacterium
Lineage: Bacteria
Description: partial 16S ribosomal RNA
Rfam family: Bacterial small subunit ribosomal RNA
Source: RNAcentral